GUACUGCGAGUGAAGCGGGAACAGCUCAUAUUUAAAAUCUGGCAGUCUUUUGGCUGUCCGAGUUGUAAUUUAGGGAAGCGUCUUCCGCGCCGGACCGUGCACAAGUCUCCUGGAAUGGAGCGUCAUAGAGGGUGAGAAUCCCGUCUUUGGCAUGGACACCCGGGGCUUCUGCGAUGCGCUCUCGAAGACUCGAGUUGUUUGGGAAUGCAGCUCAAAAUGGGUGGUGAACUCCAUCUAAAGCUAAAUAUUGGCGAGAGACCGAUAGCGAACAAGUACCGUGAGAUAAAGAUGAAAAGCACUUUGGAAAGAGAGUGAAAGAGUACGUGAAAUUGUUGAAAGGGAAACGCUUGAAGUCAGUCGCGGCGAUCGAGACUCAGCCUUGCCUUGGCUUGGCAUACUUCKCGGCUGACGGGCCAGCAUCAAUUUUGUCUCUCGGAUAAUGACAAGGGAAAGGUGGMACCUUUACCGGUGUGUUAUAGUCUCCUGUCGCAUGCGASRGGYGGKAUUGAGGAACUCAGCACGCACGUCUUGGUGUCGGGGCUUCUGSSCACGCUACGUGCUUAGGAUGUUGGCGUAAUGGCUUUAAACGACCCGUCUUGAAACACGGACCAAGGAGUCUAACAUGCCCGCGAGUGUUCGGGUGGAAAACCCGUGCGCGUAAUGAAAGUGAAAGUUGGGACCUCUAUCGUGGAGCGCACCGACGCCCGGACCAGACCUUCUGUGACGGAUCUGCGGUAGAGCGUGCAUGUUGGGACCCGAAAGAUGGUGAACUAUGCCUGAAUAGGGUGAAGCCAGAGGAAACUCUGGUGGAGGCUCGUAGCGAUUCUGACGUGCAAAUCGAUCGUCAAAUUGGGAUAGGGC
RNAcentral lists this ribosomal RNA (861 nucleotides) under Lactifluus albopicrus. RNAcentral's name for it is "partial large subunit ribosomal RNA". The record is from RNAcentral. Lineage: Eukaryota; Fungi; Basidiomycota; Agaricomycetes; Russulales; Russulaceae.